RNAcentral lists this ribosomal RNA (1201 nucleotides) under Bacillus subtilis. RNAcentral's name for it is "bacterial SSU rRNA". It matches the Rfam family "Bacterial small subunit ribosomal RNA", at positions 108 to 1295 of the family's 1533-position model. The record is from RNAcentral. Lineage: Bacteria; Bacillati; Bacillota; Bacilli; Caryophanales; Bacillaceae.
GAGUAACACGUGGGUAACCUGCCUGUAAGACUGGGAUAACUCCGGGAAACCGGGGCUAAUACCGGAUGGUUGUUUGAACCGCAUGGUUCAAACAUAAAAGGUGGCUUCGGCUACCACUUACAGAUGGACCCGCGGCGCAUUAGCUAGUUGGUGAGGUAACGGCUCACCAAGGCAACGAUGCGUAGCCGACCUGAGAGGGUGAUCGGCCACACUGGGACUGAGACACGGCCCACAUCUCUACGGGAGGCAGCAGUAGGGAAUCUUCCGCAAUGGACGAAAGUCUGACGGAGCAACGCCGCGUGAGUGAUGAAGGUUUUCGGAUCGUAAAGCUCUGUUGUUAGGGAAGAACAAGUACCGUUCGAAUAGGGCGGUACCUUGACGGUACCUAACCAGAAAGCCACGGCUAACUACGUGCCAGCAGCCGCGGUAAUACGUAGGUGGCAAGCGUUGUCCGGAAUUAUUGGGCGUAAAGGGCUCGCAGGCGGUUUCUUAAGUCUGAUGUGAAAGCCCCCGGCUCAACCGGGGAGGGUCAUUGGAAACUGGGGAACUUGAGUGCAGAAGAGGAGAGUGGAAUUCCACGUGUAGCGGUGAAAUGCGUAGAGAUGUGGAGGAACACCAGUGGCGAAGGCGACUCUCUGGUCUGUAACUGACGCUGAGGAGCGAAAGCGUGGGGAGCGAACAGGAUUAGAUACCCUGGUAGUCCACGCCGUAAACGAUGAGUGCUAAGUGUUAGGGGGUUUCCGCCCCUUAGUGCUGCAGCUAACGCAUUAAGCACUCCGCCUGGGGAGUACGGUCGCAAGACUGAAACUCAAAGGAAUUGACGGGGGCCCGCACAAGCGGUGGAGCAUGUGGUUUAAUUCGAAGCAACGCGAAGAACCUUACCAGGUCUUGACAUCCUCUGACAAUCCUAGAGAUAGGACGUCCCCUUCGGGGGCAGAGUGACAGGUGGUGCAUGGUUGUCGUCAGCUCGUGUCGUGAGAUGUUGGGUUAAGUCCCGCAACGAGCGCAACCCUUGAUCUUAGUUGCCAGCAUUCAGUUGGGCACUGUAAGGUGACUGCCGGUGACAAACCGGAGGAAGGUGGGGAUGACGUCAAAUCAUCAUGCCCCUUAUGACCUGGGCUACACACGUGCUACAAUGGACAGAACAAAGGGCAGCGAAACCGCGAGGUUAAGCCAAUCCCACAAAUCUGUUCUCAGUUCG